CCCUGCCUGCUUUAAAUGAUUCAAAAUAAUCAACAUUUGAAAACAAUAGAAAUUUAGAAAAGUAAUCAAAUGUAAUCAGCUACAUUACUUAAAGUCACUUGAAACAGUGACACUACAUAUUACAUUUUAAAUAAUUUAAUUUGUAAUCUGUAACCUAUAACAUUUCCAAAGUAACCUUCCCAACACUGGACCUGACACCUUGCAACUCAGACAAACAGAGUUGACAAAAUCAACUCAUAUUGGAUUUUAAAGGGUAUUUUUGCCUAAAACAAAACUGUAAUGAUAACAGAUUGCAAAAAAAAAAAAAAAAAAAAUGUUUUGAUUUGCUGAUUGAUGAUGAUAUAAACUUUCAAUAAUAUAAUUGAACAGAGCUACAAUUCGGUUUAUGCAUGAAUGAAGAAAAUAUGUUUGCAUCCCAGGAGCUCUACUAGAAUGUUAUAGAGUGAAUGCCAAGGAGAACAUGAAGAAAAAAAAGUGAAAAAUAACACAGGUAAGACAAAUUAAUAAAUUAUUUUCAUUUACGUAUUAAACUGUUUAUUUGUGCUAUAUAAAUAAACUUGUAUUGUAUAUAUAAACUGUUGGUAAGACGACAAGAAAAGUUAUUUAGGAAAUAAAUUAUUUUAGUUAUUGCAUUUAAGACUGCUACACUACAUGGAGCUCUAAUAAAAAAGUAAUAUAGCCACACUGGAGAUAGGAUCCAAGCAGCUGUCGAUCAAAUGAGCACAUGACCGAAUGACGUCACUUUAGGGCACGCGGCAUGUAUCCAUGGCAACGCUCAGCCGCUAAUGACAGUUAACGGUCAUCUGGUGAUUUCCUCAGACACGGCUUUGAGUUUUCGCUUUUGUUUGGUCAAAAAAGGUUAAAAGACAAUGGGAAGAAAUGCCAUCGACUAACCACAGCUGACAACCAGAGACGCGGACACGCCAAAAAACACACACACACAAUCACACACGAAAGCCCUGCAACUUUACCAUUGUUCAAUUAAAAUAAAUCUAUUUUGCUUCAUA
Carassius auratus (goldfish) is the source of this 1007-nucleotide long non-coding RNA. RefSeq lists it as uncharacterized. The transcript is spliced from 2 exons. Lineage: Eukaryota; Metazoa; Chordata; Actinopteri; Cypriniformes; Cyprinidae. The record is from RefSeq and is a predicted model, not a curated record.